Molecule: ribosomal RNA, 429 nt
Filed under: uncultured bacterium
Lineage: Bacteria
Description: bacterial SSU rRNA
Rfam family: Bacterial small subunit ribosomal RNA
Source: RNAcentral
ACGAACGCUGGCGGCAGGCUUAACACAUGCAAGUCGAACGCCCCGCAAGGGGAGUGGCAGACGGGUGAGUAACGCGUGGGAAUCUACCCAAUUCUACGGAACAACUGAGGGAAACUUCAGCUAAUACCGUAUACGCCCUACGGGGGAAAGAUUUAUCGGAAUUGGAUGAGCCCGCGUUGGAUUAGCUAGUUGGUGGGGUAAUGGCCUACCAAGGCGACGAUCCAUAGCUGGUCUGAGAGGAUGAUCAGCCACACUGGGACUGAGACACGGCCCAGACUCCUACGGGAGGCAGCAGUGGGGAAUAUUGGACAAUGGGCGAAAGCCUGAUCCAGCCAUGCCGCGUGAGUGAUGAAGGCCCUAGGGUUGUAAAGCUCUUUCAGUGGGGAAGAUAAUGACGGUACCCACAGAAGAAGCCCCGGCUAACUUCGU